AGGAACAGCCAACACCAUUCUCACUGGAGGGGUGGGGACAGGAAGAGCCCAGCAGCUCAGGGUGGCUCGCCCCCCCCCCCCUGUGAACAAUGAUCAGUCUGCUCCCCCCUCCAACAAGAGCCCUGGAGCCACAGGAGCAGAGACAUGAGAUUGGGGCGUAGAUCAAGAUAUUCUGGCACUGGGCCUGGAGAGAGAACGGGGGACGGAGCGUCAGAGCUUCCCUGCCACAAGGGACGCGUGGCCACCCCGGCACCGGGGGAGCCAUUCCCAGACAUUUCCUGGGAGGGCGGCAGAGAUGGAGGAAGGGAAUUGGCCGCUCUCCCUUUGCAGAACGGACAGCAAGGUGGCUUUGAGCUUCCUGCCCUCAUCCUUGGCCUGGCCCAGCUGCCUCUGAAGCUGCUUCUCCUUCUGGGCGUCCUCCUGCAGCCGCCCGGUGAGCUCGGCCACGUCCCGCUCCAGCUCGGCCACGCGGCCCCCCAGGGCUGAGGUCUCAUUGGCUGCCUGCUCCCGGCAUCCCUGCAGCAUCCGCACUGCCUCCGAGUGCCACAUCAUCACCGCCACGGAGAUCGUCACGGCGGCGACCAGGAAGAUCAGGACCACGCACAGCCCCAGCACCUUCAGGGUGGCUUUGGUCACUGAGGGGUCCAUGGUCACGGUGCCGCGACCUGCUGCCUGCAGCUGCUGCUGCCGUGUGCUGGCAGCCAGCAGCCAGGUCACUGCCUGUGUCACUUUAAUUACUACGUGUGGGCUUCCUUCACCAAAAAAGCUCCUGCCUCUGGUUUCUGCAGGUCACGGCCCACGGACCAUUAUAGAAUUGUCACAUGCUGGAGAGGGCCCCGGACUGGGCCCU
Long non-coding RNA from Mauremys reevesii (Reeves's turtle), 850 nucleotides. RefSeq lists it as uncharacterized. The transcript is spliced from 3 exons. The record is from RefSeq and is a predicted model, not a curated record. NCBI's taxonomy places the organism in Eukaryota, Metazoa, Chordata, Testudines, Geoemydidae.